Molecule: transfer RNA, 75 nt
Filed under: Rickettsiales bacterium
Lineage: Bacteria; Pseudomonadati; Pseudomonadota; Alphaproteobacteria; Rickettsiales
Description: tRNA-Trp
Rfam family: tRNA
About the family: Transfer RNA (tRNA) molecules are approximately 80 nucleotides in length. Their secondary structure includes four short double-helical elements and three loops (D, anti-codon, and T loops).
Source: RNAcentral
AGGGGCGAAGUGUCAAUGGUUGCACAUCAGAUUCCAAACCUGAGAGAGAGGGUUCGAUUCCUUCCGCCUCUGCCA